Molecule: ribosomal RNA, 253 nt
Filed under: uncultured bacterium
Lineage: Bacteria
Description: partial 16S ribosomal RNA
Rfam family: Bacterial small subunit ribosomal RNA
Source: RNAcentral
UACGUAGGGACCAAGCGUUGUUCGGAUUUACUGGGCGUAAAGGGCGUGCAGGCGGUCUGUUAAGUCUAGGGUGAAAGCUCCCGGCUCAACUGGGAGAGGUCCUUGGAUACUGGCGGACUUGAGGGAUGCAGAGGAAAGUGGAAUUCCCGGUGUAGUGGUGAUAUGCGUAGAUAUCGGGAGGAACACCAGUGGCGAAGGCGGCUUUCUGGGCAUUUCCUGACGCUGAGACGCGAAAGCGUGGGGAGCGAACCGG